This 252-nucleotide unclassified non-coding RNA is filed under the name Hevea brasiliensis (rubber tree). Lineage: Eukaryota; Viridiplantae; Streptophyta; Magnoliopsida; Malpighiales; Euphorbiaceae. The record is from RNAcentral.
AGGGAGGAUGUUUUCAAAUAACGGGCAUUUUUUAUAGGUUUUGAAGGCUUCGUUACGUGUUACUCUGUUAUUUAUUGGCGAAUCCUAAGUUGCAUGUGUAACAGGUGUUACGACCAUUACGUAAUAGUUAUGGCCAUUAUUUAUUGUUACGUAAUGGUAACAACAGUUACUUCAUCUACUACAAAUCACAUGGAAACAAUAAUUUUUUUCUUCUCAUUAUUUGUGUGCUUUUCUCUUCCAUAGCUGUUGUUU